This 870-nucleotide ribosomal RNA is filed under the name Pyrenophora biseptata. RNAcentral's name for it is "LSU rRNA". It matches the Rfam family "Eukaryotic large subunit ribosomal RNA", at positions 75 to 963 of the family's 3401-position model. Lineage: Eukaryota; Fungi; Ascomycota; Dothideomycetes; Pleosporales; Pleosporaceae. The record is from RNAcentral.
UUGCCUAGUAACGGCGAGUGAAGCGGCAACAGCUCAAAUUUGAAAUCUGGCUCUUUCAGGGUCCGAGUUGUAAUUUGCAGAGGGCGCUUUGGCUUUGGCAGCGGUCCAAGUUCCUUGGAACAGGACGUCACAGAGGGUGAGAAUCCCGUACGUGGUCGCUAGCUAUUGCCGUGUAAAGCCCCUUCGACGAGUCGAGUUGUUUGGGAAUGGAGCUCUAAAUGGGAGGUAAAUUUCUUCUAAAGCUAAAUACUGGGCAGAGACCGAUAGCGCACAAGUAGAGUGGUCGAAAGAUGAAAAGCACUUUGGAAAGAGAGUCAAACAGCACGUGAAAUUGUUGAAAGGGAAGCGCUUGCAGCCAGACUUGCUUGCAGUUGCUCAUCCGGACUUUUGUCCGGUGCACUCUUCUGCAGGCAGGCCAGCAUCAGUUUGGGCGGUGGGAUAAAGGUCUCUGUCACGUACCUCUCUUCGGGGAGGCCUUAUAGGGGAGACGACAUACCACCAGCCUGGACUGAGGUCCGCGCAUUUGCUAGGAUGCUGGCGUAAUGGCUGUAAGCGGCCCGUCUUGAAACACGGACCAAGGAGUCUAACAUCUAUGCGAGUGUUUGGGUGUCAAGCCCGAACGCGUAAUGAAAGUGAACGGAGGUGGGAACCCGCAAGGGUGCACCAUCGACCGAUCCUGAUGUCUUCGGAAGGAUUUGAGUAAGAGCAUGGCUGUUGGGACCCGAAAGAUGGUGAACUAUGCUUGAAUAGGGUGAAGCCAGAGGAAACUCUGGUGGGAGGCUCGCAGCGGUUCUGACGUGCAAAUCGAUCGUCAAAUUUGGGCAUAGGGGCGAAAGACUAAUCGAACUAUCUAGUAGCUGGGUUCUGCGA